UUUUUUUUGAAUCUCAUUUUCUUUUCUUUUCCGACUCUCUCUCUUUGCUCCCUCGACGAACCGAUGAAUCUCUUCUGAUUCUUCAGUUUUCCUAGAUUUUAAUCGAUUCACCGUUUUUCCGGCAUAAAGACGUUUGCUCGUAGAACGAUCUCUGUUCGGUUCUGGUUCCAAUCGUUAUUAAUCUCGAUCCGACGUUUCGGAUCCGACGACAAUCGAUCUCCGAUUGCGAUACGAGCAUGGAUGGUUUAUCUGAUGGACUUACGGGGACGGCGAGGUGAAUCGGCAAGUAUGAAGAUCCAGUCCGUCAAGAAGCUGCUCCAAAGACCUCGAGGAGAAAGCAUUGGUCUCUCUAGCCAAGGUUAUGGAAGAGUGUAAAGGAAUUGAUCUACAAGAGAGGUUAUGGAAAGCUAAACCACCACAGGAUAGCUUUAACUGACAACUCUAUCGUAGAGCAGAAGCAAUAGAUGAGAAUGUGUGAUUAGAGGAUCUGUAAGCGGUGGAGCUGAGCAAGUUUAUUGGGGGGUUCAUAUAAGGGGAGUUCUUAAUUUUUUUAUGAAUUAAUUGUGUACUGUUUGGAAUAUAAGAACCUAUGAUCUCUUAG
Camelina sativa (false flax) is the source of this 601-nucleotide long non-coding RNA. RefSeq lists it as uncharacterized. The record is from RefSeq and is a predicted model, not a curated record. NCBI's taxonomy places the organism in Eukaryota, Viridiplantae, Streptophyta, Magnoliopsida, Brassicales, Brassicaceae.